This 120-nucleotide ribosomal RNA is filed under the name Triticum dicoccoides. Lineage: Eukaryota; Viridiplantae; Streptophyta; Magnoliopsida; Poales; Poaceae. The record is from RNAcentral.
AGAUGCGAUCAUACCAGCACUAAAGCACCGGAUCCAAUCAGAACUGCGAAGUUAAGCGUGCUUGGGAGAGAGUAUUACUAGGAUGGGUGACCUCCUGGGAAGUCCUCGUGUUGCAUUCCA